This 30-nucleotide non-coding RNA is filed under the name Rattus norvegicus (Norway rat). The record is from RNAcentral. Lineage: Eukaryota; Metazoa; Chordata; Mammalia; Rodentia; Muridae.
UGGAUUCAUAGAAGCAGAAGACUGAGGAGU